This 253-nucleotide ribosomal RNA is filed under the name uncultured prokaryote. RNAcentral's name for it is "partial 16S ribosomal RNA". It matches the Rfam family "Bacterial small subunit ribosomal RNA", at positions 524 to 776 of the family's 1533-position model. The record is from RNAcentral.
UACAGAGGGUGCGAGCGUUGUUCGGAAUUAUUGGGCGUAAAGGGCGCGUAGGCGGUGCCACAAGUCACCUGUGAAAUCCCCGGGCUUAACUCGGGGCCUGCAGGCGAAACUGUGGUGCUGGAGUAUGGGAGAGGUGCGUGGAAUUCCCGGUGUAGCGGUGAAAUGCGUAGAUAUCGGAAGGAACAUCAGUGGCGAAGGCGACUUUCUGGACAAAUACUGACACUGAGGCACGAAAGCGUGGGGAGCAAACGGG